This 494-nucleotide long non-coding RNA is filed under the name Phoenix dactylifera (date palm). RNAcentral's name for it is "long non-coding RNA (PDAC_LNC014983)". Lineage: Eukaryota; Viridiplantae; Streptophyta; Magnoliopsida; Arecales; Arecaceae. The record is from RNAcentral.
UUGAUUGCUUGUGUAUUGCUGUGAGAUUGAUAUGGCACCUUGCCAAAAUUGCAAAUUUAAUACUUGUUAGGUACACUCAAAGAGCCCAUGGGUGCAAAAACACACAUAUCUACAUUAACCUCAAAACAUGAUGGUUGUGUUGGAUGAAGAAAAAAAAAGGAAAAGGGUCUUGGUUAUUCUGACUUCCAUCUCUCUCUCUCAUUCAUGUUGGAUGCAUGAUAAGGAUUCUCAUAAGAGAGAAUGGGUGAAAGUGGGACAGUUGGGUUCCACAUUUUUCUCUCCUCUCAUUUGUGAGCUUCUUCCAGCAUUUGGGAAUCAAAUGCUUUUCACUUCUGCAAUGGUCUGAGAGCAGGAUAUUUGCCUCAUUGUAGUAUCUUGGUGGCAAUUGCAGAUGAAAGAACUACAUGAGUUGCAGAUGGAAGGCCUCCUUGAACUGCAAUAGUCAUCAAUCCAACCUCAGCUAUAAGAAAUUACGCUCACAAUGUACGUAAAAA